GCUGCUAAUUCUGUUCCUUCAGAGGAUCUCAGUCUUGCCUUGCACGUCAUCUCCUGGCUUCCAGCGCAGACUCUUGGGCUUGCGGCUCCGAUCCUUCAGUCUUCCAGCCUAGACUCUUCAGCCUUCCACUGCAGACCUAUCAGCUUCCUGAUACAGACUUGCAGGGGACACUGAGGAUGUCAUCUCCUGGCCUCCAGCGCAGACUCUUCAGCUUGCAGCUCCGAUCCUUCAGUCUUCUAACAUAACUCUUCAGCCUUCCAUUGCAGACCCAUCGGCCUCCUGAUACAGACUUUCAGGGAACACUUCAGUGAGGUCCAGAUCUUUGACUGAAUCCUUCCAUCUCCAGGAUGCAGACAGAUCCUCUGCACUCUUCCUCAUCUGACUCUGUGGGUGGCCACUGUAAGCCAAUCUUGUAAAUUCAUGUUUAUUUGUGUAUCUUGUGUUAUAUCUGUUUCUUUAGUUAAUACUGACUGAUAUACACCUGUUAUGAAAAAAGAAUGACAGAAAAUGGGACAGAAACUCAACUUUACUGAGAACCUGCUAUGUACUAGGCAUUGGCCUAGUUUCUUCACAUACACUAUUUUUACUGAAUCUCUAUACAUCCUCCCUGAGUGAAUGUUUUAACCCUUGCAGAUAUGGAAACUAAAGCACAGAAAAGACAAUCAACUUGGCCUGCUAUUCAGUGUUGGCAGAUUUCAAACACAGUUACACCUGACCCCAAAGCUCCUUGCCUCCCCACCCCCACGUUUCAGAAGCACUCAAUCCUAUCAAUUUUGUUACUGUCACCAUGGAGAGUAACUAACAGUGAAGAUAACUCAGGAGGGCAUAAGCAGCUCUGAGUACAUAAAUCCUUGGGAAGACAACAACAAAAUCUACCUUCAACUUUAUUAAUUACCCAGGCUGUCAAGUCUCAUGGCCAUCUGUGUCCCACAUGGAAUCAUUGAAUGCUGGAACAGGGUUGCCUACUCUGAUCUCUUCCAUCUGAUGGAACUGAGGCCGGAAAGGUGAAAUGACCUGCCCUAAGGUCCCACACCUAGAGGCAACCCUUGAAGUGGAACCACAGUGUGCUUUAGCUCCCCCUUGCUGCUCGGGAGCAUAGAGCGCUAUUUGAGAAUUUGGAACCACACUACCUGGGUUCACUGCUUGCCCCACCACUUAACAAGUGGGUUGGGCAACUUAUUUAUUCAUGCUGGGCCUUGAUUUCCUCACUUAUUAAACACAAGGUAAUGAAAGCACCACUGUUAGAUAUAAAUCACAUAAAAUACCAUCAGGAAUAUAGUGAGAGUUGUUAGCUCUGGUUACUGCCAAUGUGAUCUAAAUUACAGUCUCAGUAAUCUGCCUGUAUCUGCUCUAGAAAAUAAUUGGGGUAAUAGGAAGUGACAGAGAGGAUGGGGCAUGAACCCUAAUUUUAGUCUUAGUUUAUCUAAUCUUUGUGUUCCCUUUUUGCUUUCUCCUGACUAUUGGUAAAAGUAGGUAGAGAAAGGUUUCCAUUUCUCUUUCCAUCCUCCCAUUAUUGAAAUCUGCCCCUAGGAAAGGACUUGAUAAGCCCAUUUAGUGGUGGCUUAUUGAUUUCUUAACCUAAGUCCUCUUUUUUAAAGGUAUUGGCAGUUUUACCAAAAGUCGAAGCCUAAAGUAAAGGCUUUCUAAUGUUAGAGUUUGGGUAUCAGUCAAGAGUGGAAUAGGUUUGCCUUUGGUUUGGUUCUGAUGUUGUAGUGUUGGGGAGCAGAAAAGGGAGGAAACCCAGAUCUGUAUUAAAAUCUGGGUUCUGGGACGGGGAUUUAGCUCAGUGGUUCCGGCGCCUGCCUUGCAAGCGCAAGGUCCCGAGUUUGAUCCCCGGUACCAAAAAAAAAAAUCUGGGUUCUAUCCUCUAGGAUGGGAGUGAGCUCAUCAGGUGGACAACCCAGAAAGAAGAAAGUGUUAGACUUUCUUCAGGACUUACCGAGAAACCCCAGCUAGGGUAGAAUUGCCCUCAGGGGAACAAAGUAGUGGGGGUAGAAGACAGACUCAGUAAGACCCAAGCCUUUACUGAAGACAAAAAAAAGCAUGUAUCAUACUCAAGAAAUCAGAACAGGACAGGGUAACCAAUUCACAACUUCAGGAGUGGGUCAGAACCUGAGUACACACCCUGCUUUCACUUCGCUGUCUCUGUGCUGGAGGCAGGGACAGAUUUCAAGCAUCAAGAUGCCCAAAGCUCUCUCCACACAGGUCCACUCUUGCUGCUCUCCAGUUUGGUGCGCCAUCCAGUAAGCUGGUGGUACCAACAGAAGGAGGAAUGUCCAAUGUCACCAAGAGUUGCUUGGACUUUAGAAGAACACCAGGUCUCCAACCAGGUCAAAUCUCAGCCCAUAGGGAGUUCCCUCUUAAGUGUCCUAUGGAGAUAUAAGAAGGUAGGGGAUCUUUAGGAACCAAAGUCCAGGUAGAACAGUUCGGAGAUUAAGACUGAGGUUAGGAAUAGAGAUUGGACAUGGGAGGUGUAGCGCAGGGAAAGUAGAGGGAGCAGCAUGUACCUUCCCGAUUAGGGUAGUAUCUUGGAAUUUCAAGACUGACUGCAAGCUUGUCUGCAACAAGCACUAUAGAUAAUCUUAAUUGACUAAUGCCUUCACAUGCAUCUGCGUCUGGCUUUUCAAAUGUGUAUGGAAGCUGUAGUGUGACUAUGUGAUUAAUAUCAGCCCUAACAUACAGCUUUAUUUCACCAAUGAAAGAAUAAUAAUAAGAUACACUUAUUUUCAUAUCUACAAAAUUAUUUUGACUUCCAAAGAUUUUCUGUCUUAAAAAGCUUGGAGACAUUGGGCUACAUCUCUGCUUUUCAUCCCCUCUCAUUGCCACUGCUAUGUGCUUUAGUGACAGAUUUAUGACUGGGAUUCCUUUGCCUACCCCUUUAUCACUGGGAAGUAUCUAUUUGCUCUCCUCUGCUGAAUAUUGGAUACAAUAAAUCAAAGCUAUAUGCCAAUUAAUGACUUUCUCUAAAAUAUCUCUUAGUGUAUUUCCAUUGAGGAGUAUCUUUUAUCUUCUUCUGUGGGUGAACUUAGCCUAAUCUGUCUGGCCUGCCAGCUCCUUCCUAUUGUUGAUUUGAGGGCAGAUUCUUUUGGAGAAAAUUCAACUCUGCUUUCUGAACUUUUGCACUCACAGCAACAAUAAAAAAUGGUAAAUGUGAACUGCAGAUAAUCUAUACCUAAGUAAUCUAGAACCUCAAUUAAUAACACAUUGAAGCUUAUGGCACUCAGACUGUAGUUAACAGCAGUUCCAAGGUUAAGGGCACACUACUAACUUUGUUCAGUUUUCUCUCCACUGAAAUUGACCAUCAGAC
This 3307-nucleotide long non-coding RNA is filed under the name Heterocephalus glaber (naked mole-rat). RNAcentral's name for it is "lncRNA (ENSHGLG00100042094.1)". Lineage: Eukaryota; Metazoa; Chordata; Mammalia; Rodentia; Bathyergidae. The record is from RNAcentral.